UGUGGAUGUAGCUCAGUUGGUAGAGUGCUUGCUUUGCAUGCACAAGGCCCUGGGUUCAAUUCCCAGCACCACAA
This 74-nucleotide transfer RNA is filed under the name Ictidomys tridecemlineatus (thirteen-lined ground squirrel). RNAcentral describes it as "tRNA-Ala (TGC) (tRNA-Ala-TGC-11-1)". It matches the Rfam family "tRNA". From Rfam's summary of the family: Transfer RNA (tRNA) molecules are approximately 80 nucleotides in length. Their secondary structure includes four short double-helical elements and three loops (D, anti-codon, and T loops). The record is from RNAcentral. Lineage: Eukaryota; Metazoa; Chordata; Mammalia; Rodentia; Sciuridae.